AGAGAAUCUGAUUAGAUACGACAAUUUUAUUUCCUAGCCGUUUGCUGUUUCAUUUACUUGGACUCGUAGAUGCUUCCAAGCAAGUGGACUCAAUGUCAGGAGCUGAUAUUAAGAGAAAAAUUGUGGAAUACAUGUCAGAUGCUACUUUUCAUGAGAUGCUAUUCAAACUGGAGAAGGUCAUUGAUGAGUUGGGCGGCGAUUUAGCACUAUAGGUGGCUGGCUUGCUCAUUUCGUGGUGACUCUCAUCCUGUGUUUUUGAUUAGUCUUAACAACAGAAAGGUCAACUUAGGG
Long non-coding RNA from Musa acuminata AAA Group (dessert banana), 291 nucleotides. RefSeq lists it as uncharacterized. NCBI's taxonomy places the organism in Eukaryota, Viridiplantae, Streptophyta, Magnoliopsida, Zingiberales, Musaceae. The transcript is spliced from 3 exons. The record is from RefSeq and is a predicted model, not a curated record.